RNAcentral lists this ribosomal RNA (253 nucleotides) under uncultured bacterium. Its description in RNAcentral is "partial 16S ribosomal RNA". It matches the Rfam family "Bacterial small subunit ribosomal RNA", at positions 524 to 776 of the family's 1533-position model. The record is from RNAcentral.
UACGUAGGGUGCAGGCGUUAAUCGGAAUUACUGGGCGUAAAGCGUGCGCAGGCGGUUUCUUAAGUCAGAUGUGAAAGCCCCGGGCUUAACCUGGGAACUGCGUUUGAAACUGGGAGACUUGAGUGUGGCAGAGGGGGGUGGAAUUCCACGUGUAGCAGUGAAAUGCGUAGAGAUGUGGAGGAACACCGAUGGCGAAGGCAGCCCCCUGGGUCAAGAUUGACGCUCAUGCACGAAAGCGUGGGGAGCAAACAGG